Molecule: long non-coding RNA, 1176 nt
Filed under: Olea europaea subsp. europaea
Lineage: Eukaryota; Viridiplantae; Streptophyta; Magnoliopsida; Lamiales; Oleaceae
Source: RNAcentral
GAAACAUAUAUAUUUUGAUGAGUCACUCAAGACUUCUAAACAAUACCUAUUUUAAUGUGUCAGCAAACGAAGAGAUGUAAUUAUAAAAUACCCCUUGUUCCAUUUACAUAUGACAAAUUUUAAAACAAUUCAUAUUUGCAUUUGCAUUUAAGAUGUACUUAGAAACGAUUUUUUUCAACACAUUGCCUAUUUUUGCAUAUAUUACAGAUUUAUUUUAAGCAAUUCACGUUAACAUUGAAGAUACUCUUAGAUAGAGCAAAUCCAACACAUCUUGCCUUUGAAACUGACCGGUCUAACCCUUAUGAUACCUCUAGAACUUGCACAAAGCCGGAGAAUGAAACCAGGGAUCGCAUAUUAACCGCAUAACUCAUACCAAAGCUUUUGUAUACUUAGAAGCUAAUAACUAAAAAUCUCAUAACAAUCUUUAUAAAUAAAGCGAACCCAGCAAGUUGCCUCUUAAGGCAACGCAAUUAUUGACCCAGCACGACCUGCAUUUCCCUGUGAAGUAAACCUAGAAACGAUUUCAUUACAUGGCUAUAAAUUUGGGGAGGGGUUCACUAUACUACUAAGACAAACAAAUGAUAAUAGAAUUUAACUCUUGCUUUCAUCUCCCAUAACACAAGCAACCAAUUUAAGGUCAUUUGACAUAUGAACUUAGCAACAGAAAAACAAUACCGUAGGGCUCAGACGACAAAAGACAAAACAAAUAGACGACACUCGCAUUUAGGUUUAAAAAAAAAAAAAAAACCUUGUUCGAUUGACAAUCAUUUCCUCGCGACUUCCCCUAACUACUCGACCAUACAGGGGAAUGAACUAAACAAGACCACCCUUACCAGCCAUCUCCAUCAACGAUGAAAAUUGCCCUCCACCCCCACCUCCUCCAAAGAAAAACCCCAUCCCCUUUUUUAUUGACCACCAUAGCAUCAAACGACCAGACUGGGCACCUCCUCAACCACAACAGAGUCUGCACAGGACUAGCAGACUCGGUAAGGUGCUCUGACCCGACUUAGACACAACCAGACCUUCACUUGACUCAACCUGAAGAACUGACCCAUCAACCAAACUGAAUGACCUGAAAAUUUACCAGGGAAUUAGUGCUCGGAAAUUUCACUGCAUGAAACAACAUUGGUUUGGGACAUCAAACAGCCCAUUAACUCAAAGCUGAAUGACAGAUGU